GAUGAACGCUGACAGGAUGCUUAACACAUGCAAGUCAACUUGAAUUUGGGUUUUUAACUUAGGUUUGGGUGGCGGACGGGUGAGUAACGCGUAAAGAACUUGCCUCACAGUUAGGGACAACAUUUGGAAACGAAUGCUAAUACCUAAUAUUAUGAUAAUAGGGCAUCCUAUAAUUAUGAAAGCUAUAAGCGCUGUGAGAGAGCUUGCGUCCCAUUAGCUAGUUGGAGAGGUAACGGCUCACCAAGGCGAUGAUGGGUAGCCGGCCUGAGAGGGUGAUCGGCCACAAGGGGACUGAGACACGGCCCUUACUCCUACGGGAGGCAGCAGUGGGGAAUAUUGGACAAUGGACCAAGAGUCUGAUCCAGCAAUUCUGUGUGCACGAUGAAGUUUUUCGGAAUGUAAAGUGCUUUCAGUUGGGAAGAAAGAAAUGACGGUACCAACAGAAGAAGUGACGGCUAAAUACGUGCCAGCAGCCGCGGUAAUACGUAUGUCACGAGCGUUAUCCGGAUUUAUUGGGCGUAAAGCGCGUCUAGGUGGUUAUGUAAGUCUGAUGUGAAAAUGCAGGGCUCAACUCUGUAUUGCGUUGGAAACUGUAUAACUAGAGUACUGGAGAGGUAAGCGGAACUACAAGUGUAGAGGUGAAAUUCGUAGAUAUUUGUAGGAAUGCCGAUGGGGAAGCCAGCUUACUGGACAGAUACUGACGCUGAAGCGCGAAAGCGUGGGUAGCAAACAGG
RNAcentral lists this ribosomal RNA (734 nucleotides) under uncultured Fusobacterium sp. RNAcentral describes it as "bacterial SSU rRNA". It matches the Rfam family "Bacterial small subunit ribosomal RNA", at positions 28 to 776 of the family's 1533-position model. Lineage: Bacteria; Fusobacteriati; Fusobacteriota; Fusobacteriia; Fusobacteriales; Fusobacteriaceae. The record is from RNAcentral.